Molecule: long non-coding RNA, 662 nt
Organism: Candoia aspera
Lineage: Eukaryota; Metazoa; Chordata; Lepidosauria; Squamata; Candoiidae
Exons: 3
Source: RefSeq, a predicted model, not a curated record
AAUGCUGCAGGAACAUAAUGUACAGGGGAUAGGGGGUGGCCUUGAAGGAGAGAAGGAAGAGCCACUACCAUGGCAACAGUGAGACAAAAGGGGCCUGAGCCCAGGCCAAGAAAGUAACAUAAGUAAAUAUCUCAGACAAGCCCCUCUCUAGUUCACACAGAUAAAGGAAGGGAGGCAGGAAGUGCCUUCAGACUUGCAAGGUUCUGUUACUAUAGCUUUACAAUGCACGUAGUACUGACCCAAAUGGCACUGGUUUCCUAGCGUUGUCUACCUUGAGGGGCUGACACAUAGUGGACACUAGGAAGGGUGCUGCCAAUGAGAUCAUUCUCUUAUCCAACGUCUUUAAUGUUCUCAUUGGCAGCACUCCAUCUUCUCUGCUGCCGUCUUCUCUCCACUGUAGACCUGGGAAGAGGAGGACUAGCUGUGCUGGUUUUCCCUCUUCCAGCUUCCACUGUACCUCUCUUCCUCAGCAAAGAGGCAGGCAGCAGGACACAGCUGGAGCAGCAUUAUUUGUUAACCUUCAAAUCAUUUUGGCAAAUUUUUUUCUCCAUCUACUUCCCUUUGGAUUGGACCCUUUAUAUUUAUUUUGGUGCUUUUCAGUUGCCUCAUUGCCUUUCUGACCUAUAAAUUGAGACAGAGCUUCCAGGAAGUAUCUAAGCUUG